GUCCAGACUCCUACGGGAGGCAGCAGUGAGGAAUAUUGGUCAAUGGGCGCAAGCCUGAACCAGCCAAGUCGCGUGAGGGAAGACGGCCCUACGGGUUGUAAACCUCUUUUGCCGGGGAGCAAGCCUGAGCACGUGUGCCCAGGCGGAGAGUACCCGGAGAAAAAGCAUCGGCUAACUCCGUGCCAGCAGCCGCGGUAAUACGGAGGAUGCGAGCGUUAUCCGGAUUUAUUGGGUUUAAAGGGUGCGUAGGCGGGUUAUCAAGUCAGCGGUAAAAUCGUGGAGCUCAACUCCAUCCAGCCGUUGAAACUGAUGAUCUUGAGUGGGCGAGAAGUAUGUGGAAUGCGUGGUGUAGCGGUGAAAUGCAUAGAUAUCACGCAGAACUCCGAUUGCGAAGGCAGCAUACCGGCGCCCAACUGACGCUGAAGCACGAAAGCGUGGGUAUCGAACAGGAUUAGAUCCCCCAGUA
Molecule: ribosomal RNA, 466 nt
Filed under: uncultured bacterium
Lineage: Bacteria
Description: bacterial SSU rRNA
Rfam family: Bacterial small subunit ribosomal RNA
Source: RNAcentral